AUAUUGGAUCCGGACGUAAUGGUGGCGCAGCUUAUGUGAGUAAAACGCUUUAGUACUAUGUGUCACUGUGGUGGCCGGUGUUUUCUCUUCCGAGGGACGCGAAUUCAUGCUGCACACUCUUUGAAAGGGUUUAUGAUAAAAGACACGCGAGUUUGUGGGAGUAAAACGCUUUAGUACUAUGUGUUACUAUCAGUUGCGGCCAUUGAAUGUGAUAAAAAACACAUGUGUGUGUGUUUGUGCAUUCGGUACACAUGCGUCGAAGGGUUUAUGUAAAAGACGUGUGUGUGUGUGUCACAGGGUGACGAUCUUUUGGGCGGAACCAAAAGUUGGGAAAGUUUGGUUCCGCCCGGAUGUUUCCGCCCGGACCGGGAAGAGAAGACACAGGACAUCCGGCAGCAUCGCGAGGGCUGUAAUCAGCCAAACUACGUACAGCUGUGAGAUAUUAAGAGGAGCGCCGGGUGAUUGGACAAUGGCAACAUCCAGGAGAGUAUAUAAGAGCAAUUUAAACCACAGUUUGGCGUCGUUUUGUUGGUGCAUGUUGUUCCUGUUGCUGGUGUAUAGUAGCGCUGAGUUGGGCUCACCUGUUAUACUUAUUGGAUCGCUGUACUUGCUCUCUCUCUCGUUUUGCAUUGUGGACUUAUGUUGAUGAAGAUGCCGAAGACCUUAGAGGUUGAAGAUUAAACGGAUAUUGACAUCGGAUGAGAGAAACAAAGGAAGGAGAAACGUACCAUUGUGAGUAGACAUCUGUGGAAAAGGGAUGUUGGCGACUGGAAAACGCCCUGUCUAUGCAUCUGGAGUCAUUGCCGGAUGAAAUCAACCUAGGGGAACGUGGGACGAAGAAAGUGCAGCAGUUGUGAGUAACAGAAUCCAUUUAUGGAAGUGAAUUGCAUGUAUUUGACCUGUGUAUCUUUUUGAGUGUUUCCAAGAGAGCGUGGGUGGCCCUACCCCUGAGUCAGCGUGGUGGGUGAGCCGAAGGGUCCUUGUGUUGAAACAGCUCCAGUGACGAAAACAAACACUAGGCCGUGUUACCAUAUCCAUAUCCUCGCCCAGAGCGAAGUGGAGGAAGACAGGCGUCUAUUGUGUGCACUGAGCGUGGUGGAGCUAGAGGCGAAGGAGAUCCGCCGCCCCGAGGUCUCUACGAAGGGGCGCCCCGGUCCAGUUUUCGAUUGACCAACGGGUAUCGAGGAAACGGGCAGCGCUCGACCCGGUGUGCCGGCGUGACGUUCCCGCCCCUCUGUGGACAACGAGCUCGCCGAGAGGGUCUUGGUCCCCGGCGUCCUAUAGAAGCCACUGUCCAGUUGACGCAUUACGUAAGCCAGCUAUCCUGUCGUCUGUGGAAAGAGAGAGAGCCAGCGUGAACGCUAAGAUACCGAGCUGUGAAGAAAAACCAUACCUACCUAGAAGCUGUAGUCAGCGCAGAGGUGAGAGAACCAAUUGAACACGAUUCACUGCGUCCCUUUGUGUCCCAGCUGUCGUCUGUGGAAAGAGAGAGAGCCAGCGUGAACGCUAAGAUACCGAGCUGUGAAGAAGAAACAUACCUACCUAGAAGCUGUAGUCAGCGCAGAGGUGAGAGAACCAAUUGAACACGAUUCACUGCGUCCCUUUGUGUCCCAGCUGUCGUCUGUGGAAAGAGAGAGAGCCAGCGUGAACGCUAAGAUACCGAGCUGUGAAGAGAACCAUACCUACCUAGAAGCUGUAGUCAGCGAAGAGGUGAGAGAACCAAUUGGAAACGAUUCACUGUGUCCCUUUGUGUCCCAGCUGUCGUCUGUGGAAAGAGAGAGAGCCAGCGUGAACGCUAAGAUACCGA
Molecule: non-coding RNA, 1807 nt
Organism: Misgurnus anguillicaudatus (oriental weatherfish)
Lineage: Eukaryota; Metazoa; Chordata; Actinopteri; Cypriniformes; Cobitidae
Source: RefSeq, a predicted model, not a curated record